This is a non-coding RNA of Myotis davidii, 75 nucleotides long. NCBI's taxonomy places the organism in Eukaryota, Metazoa, Chordata, Mammalia, Chiroptera, Vespertilionidae. The record is from Rfam.
GGCAGUUCUCGGGUGACACACCUCAAAACUGGACCCCCUCUUCUCUGGUUCCGGGUGUGUCACCCAAGAACCACC